This is a long non-coding RNA of Physeter macrocephalus (sperm whale), 896 nucleotides long. RefSeq lists it as uncharacterized. Lineage: Eukaryota; Metazoa; Chordata; Mammalia; Artiodactyla; Physeteridae. The transcript has 3 exons. The record is from RefSeq and is a predicted model, not a curated record.
CCGCCUCUGCGCACGCGCGCCAGAGGGUGUGGGGGCCCGCGAGGGCGCAGAGUGGAGCUCUAGGUCUCCGAGCCUCGGUCUAAGCCCCGACGGAGACUAGAGAAGGGAGGGGCGAGAGAGGGCGAGGCCGCGGGCGCGCUCCCUGCGGCCGUCUGAUAGGGCGCGCGGCGUUACGAGCACGCCCCGCGGGGGGGCGCUGCCUAGUGACUGCGCAGGCGCGGCAUGCUGGAGUAGCCCUUUGACACCCACCGUUUUCCUCCUCUGGUCGCUCACCCGGCUCAGCUGAGGAUGCUUCGGGCCGCGUUUGGCGCGUGUGUUUCGCUGAGAGUCUUGGCGCAGCCAAAAGCUUGGGUCGCCGUGUGUUCCUGUGUAGCUGUAGCUCGUAAAUGCGAGAAAAAGUAGCGCCCUGUGUCAUUUAAUAGCCCUUUUGCUAAAAUGAGGCGCAUCCUGAGUGCCCUCUCUCGAGAAAGUGCACAGCUGGCCAGCUUAUGGUUCCAGUCUUCAGCUUCAACUUUCAGGACCUGCCUCUACAACAUAAUGAAGUCUUCCCGGGGACUUCCCUGGUGGCACAGAUGUUAAGAAUCUGCCUGCCAAUGCAGGGGACACGGGUUUGAUCCCUGGUCUGGGAAGAUCCCACAUGCCGCGGAACAACUAAGCCCGUGUGCCACAACUACUGAGCCUGUGCUCUAGAGCCCGUGAUCCACAACUACUGAGCCCGCGUGCCAUGACUACUGAAGCCCACGCACCUACAGCCUGUGCUCUGCAACAAGAGAAGCCACUGCAAUGAGAAGCCCGCUCACCGCAACGAAGAGUAGUCCCCACCUCUCUGCAACGAGAGAAAGCCCGCGUGCAGCAACAAAGACCCAACGCAGCCAAAAAUAAAUAAAUUAAUUAAU